Rhodamnia argentea is the source of this 191-nucleotide long non-coding RNA. RefSeq lists it as uncharacterized. NCBI's taxonomy places the organism in Eukaryota, Viridiplantae, Streptophyta, Magnoliopsida, Myrtales, Myrtaceae. The transcript is spliced from 2 exons. The record is from RefSeq and is a predicted model, not a curated record.
GCCUAACAGACAUUAAGAUUUAUGGAUUUUACAGAAGCAUAUAGUCCUGACAAUAAUUGACAUUCAAAAGAUGCAUAUACACCAUAAUCAACAUUUUCCAAAAUUGAGAGUUAUGGACAACCUUUUGAAGAAAUUAUGAGCCCUUACUUUUAUUUGAAGAACUUCGGAACUGUGUACCUUAGCUCCACGGU